RNAcentral lists this transfer RNA (71 nucleotides) under Candidatus Peribacteria bacterium RIFCSPHIGHO2_01_FULL_55_13. Its description in RNAcentral is "tRNA-OTHER". It matches the Rfam family "tRNA". From Rfam's summary of the family: Transfer RNA (tRNA) molecules are approximately 80 nucleotides in length. RNAcentral also lists the same sequence under 1 other name. Lineage: Bacteria; Candidatus Peregrinibacteriota; Candidatus Peribacteria. The record is from RNAcentral.
GGGCUCGUAGUGUAACGGUAGCAUCAAGGCUCGCAAGGUCUUGGGUGCGGGUCCGAUUCCCGUCGAGUCCA